Molecule: ribosomal RNA, 181 nt
Filed under: uncultured bacterium
Lineage: Bacteria
Description: partial 16S ribosomal RNA
Rfam family: Bacterial small subunit ribosomal RNA
Source: RNAcentral
AUGAAGCCGGAAUCGCUAGUAAUCGCGGAUCAGAAUGCCGCGGUGAAUACGUUCCCGGGUCUUGUACACACCGCCCGUCACACCAUGGGAGUCGGAAAUGCCCGAAGUCUGUGACCCAACCGGAAGGAAGGAGCAGCCGAAGGCAGGUCUGAUGACUGGGGUGAAGUCGUAACAAGGUAGC